UAUCUUUUCAAUAGGCCACAGAAGCAUGGACAAGAACUUGCACAGUGUAAAUAGUCUCGGGCGUGUUGUGAGGAGGACCGACAGUGUUCUGGGCCACCGUCACUCCUACAUGUGGACAUCAACGGCAAGUUGAUGAGAUCCUGAUCCUCCAAACGGCCAAAAACAAGGCAUCCAUGGCUCUGGGGUUCUUUCUUAAAGCUGCAAAGAAACCCGACUUUCCAUCCAGUGCAUGUUCAAACGUGAGUGGGGACAGUGGACCUGAGAUUGUGGAUGUUGGAGGCUGCGGUAAGGGAAGCUUCAGGGAGAAGUGUCCCCAGCCACAGAACAUCUUAAACCUGCCUCCAAUCCAAGAUGAUCUCGACACUGAGGGAUGGAACAACCCUUCACAGGACGCAGCUGUGGAAAAUGGGAAGACUC
This is a long non-coding RNA of Monopterus albus (swamp eel), 417 nucleotides long. RefSeq lists it as uncharacterized. The transcript has 4 exons. Lineage: Eukaryota; Metazoa; Chordata; Actinopteri; Synbranchiformes; Synbranchidae. The record is from RefSeq and is a predicted model, not a curated record.